AGUCUUCUUAAAUAUAAGAUUUGAACUUGUGAUUUCCUGUUUACUAGACAGGCACUUUAACUAACUAAGCCAUAGUGCC
This is a non-coding RNA of Cordylochernes scorpioides, 79 nucleotides long. The record is from the annotation of a GenBank genome assembly. Lineage: Eukaryota; Metazoa; Arthropoda; Arachnida; Pseudoscorpiones; Chernetidae.